Molecule: long non-coding RNA, 570 nt
Organism: Gasterosteus aculeatus aculeatus (three-spined stickleback)
Lineage: Eukaryota; Metazoa; Chordata; Actinopteri; Perciformes; Gasterosteidae
Source: Ensembl
GGGAACUGUAAUUUCUACAGUUUAGCAACAAGGCACGCAUAGUGAACAACACCGCUGUGCGUUUCCAGGCCUGCAAACUGACUGAGCUCUUGUUUAACCAAAGGGAUCUGACUUCACUGAAUCCGAGGAGGCGUCUGGAGCAUCUGAUACAGCACAAAGAGACAAACGGGUUAAACGUGAACAAGCCCCGGCGAGUUAAGAGGCACAAGUGAUCCAACAGUACCGCUUGAGUCCUGGUUGCUUUGGCGAACGCAGAGGAGCUAAUGCAGACAACCUCUCCAGAGGAAUCAAUGUGACUCAAUAGAAUGAAAGGAAAGAGAUGAUUGACUUUUCCGUGAAUGAACCCACUGUCGUGGCUGCUCUCGCUGUGAUCUCUGGGAGUGUUUGCAACGCAAAAUGUUGUUGAAUUUCAAACAGGAGUUGAACUGCAGAGCUCAGAGCCUCCUCCACAAUAAUAACCAUGGGUGCUUCUGGAAGGAGGAAAUCCCCAAGACACAUAACUCGACUCCAGAGGCAACGCACAAACAAAGACUGUAGAGGGCUACUUAUAGAGCCACCAUAUCAAUAAAA